Molecule: ribosomal RNA, 194 nt
Filed under: Ligilactobacillus salivarius
Lineage: Bacteria; Bacillati; Bacillota; Bacilli; Lactobacillales; Lactobacillaceae
Description: Lactobacillus salivarius partial 16S rRNA
Rfam family: Bacterial small subunit ribosomal RNA
Source: RNAcentral
CCUACGGGAGGCAGCAGUAGGGAAUCUUCCACAAUGGGCGCAAGUCUGAUGGAGCAACGCCGCGUGAGUGAAGAAGGUCUUCGGAUCGUAAAACUCUGUUGUUAGAGAAGAACACGAGUGAGAGUAACUGUUCAUUCGAUGACGGUAUCUAACCAGCAAGUCACGGCUAACUACGUGCCAGCAGCCGCGGUAAU